Molecule: long non-coding RNA, 432 nt
Filed under: Vigna radiata
Lineage: Eukaryota; Viridiplantae; Streptophyta; Magnoliopsida; Fabales; Fabaceae
Description: long non-coding RNA (VRAD_LNC005299)
Source: RNAcentral
GAUUUUUACAUACGGAAAAUCCGUAUAUAAAAUUCGUAUGUAAAGUUCGUGCGUACUGGUGGGAAAGUUAUCUAAGGAUUAAAUCCGUAUAUAAUUCUAAUUAUCCGUAUAUAACUAUUUCCACGUGUUAGCCACUGAUAUUACAUACGGAUUGAGAAAUUAAAUUAGGUCCUGAUUAGAAUGAGAAGCAAACCUCGAACCCUAUUCUUCUCAUAACGCUCGAGCUUUUCUCUCUUCCUCAAACCCUAUUCUUUCCGAAACCCUCGAGCUUUUAUGUCUCCCUCGACCCCAUUUGAUUUCUCUCUUGAACCCUUGCGAUUUCACAUCUCUUUCUCGAGCCCUCUUUGCUAUCGUUGUUCCUCUCUUAAGUCCCCUUCACUGUCGUUGUCCCUCUCUUGAGCCCUUGCUUCUUCCUCUCUCUCUCGAAUUGUC